CCUACGGGGGGCAGCAGUGGGGAAUAUUGCACAAUGGGCGCAAGCCUGAUGCAGCCAUGCCGCGUGUGUGAAGAAGGCCUUCGGGUUGUAAAGCACUUUCAGUUGUGAGGAAAGGGAUGUAGUUAAUAACUGCAUUCUGUGACGUUAGCAACAGAAGAAGCACCGGCUAACUCCGUGCCAGCAGCCGCGGUAAUACGGAGGGUGCGAGCGUUAAUCGGAAUUACUGGGCGUAAAGCGUGCGUAGGCGGAUGAUUAAGCGAGAUGUGAAAUCCCGGGGCUCGACCUCGGAACUGCAUUUCGAACUGGUCGUCUAGAGUAUUGUAGAGGGUGGUGGAAUUUCCAGUGUAGCGGUGAAAUGCGUAGAGAUUGGAAGGAACAUCAGUGGCGAAGGCGGCCACCUGGACAAAUACUGACGCUGAGGCACGAAAGCGUGGGGAGCGAACAGGAUUAGGUACCCUGGUAGUCCACGCCGUAAACGAUGUCAACUAGCCGUCUGUUUCCUUGAGAAGUGGGUGGCGUAGCUAACGCGCUAAGUUGACCGCCUGGGGAGUACGGCCGCAAGGUUAAAGCUCAAAUGAAUUGACGGGGGCCCGCACAAGCGGUGGAGCAUGUGGUUUAAUUCGAUGCAACGCAAAGACCUUACCAUCCCUUGACAUCCACAGAAAUUUCUAGAGAUAGAUUUGUGCCUUCGGGAACUGUGAGACAGGUGCUGCAUGGCUGUCGUCAGCUCGUGUUGUGAAAUGUUGGGUUAAGUCCCGCAACGAGCGCAACCCCUAUCCUUAUUUGCCAGCGUGUAAUGGCGGGAACUUUAAGGAGACUGCCGGUGAUAAACCGGAGGAAGGUGGGGACGACGUCAAGACAUCAUGGCCCUUACGGGAUGGGCUACACACGUGCUACAAUGGCGUAUACAGAGUGCUGCAAGACCGCGAGGUGGAGCGAAUCACACAAAGUACGUCGUAGUCCGGAUCGGAGUCUGCAACUCGACUCCGUGAAGUCGGAAUCGCUAGUAAUCGUAGAUCAGAAUGCUACGGUGAAUACGUUCCCGGGCCUUGUACACACCGCCCGUC
This 1067-nucleotide ribosomal RNA is filed under the name uncultured bacterium. RNAcentral describes it as "bacterial SSU rRNA". It matches the Rfam family "Bacterial small subunit ribosomal RNA", at positions 338 to 1398 of the family's 1533-position model. The record is from RNAcentral.